GAUUCCCCUAGUAACUGCGAGUGAAGAGGGAAAAGCUCAAAUUUAAAAUCUGGCAGUCUUUGAUUGUCCGAGUUGUAAUUUAGAGAAGUGUUACCCGCGCUGGACCGUGUAUAAGUCUCCUGGAAUGGAGCGUCAUAGAGGGUGAGAAUCCCGUCUUUGACACGGACUACCAGGGCAUUGUGGUGCGCUCUCGAAGAGUCGAGUUGUUUGGGAAUGCAGCUCUAAAUGGGUGGUAAAUUCCAUCUAAAGCUAAAUAUUGGCGAGAGACCGAUAGCGAACAAGUACCGUGAGGGAAAGAUGAAAAGAACUUUGGAAAGAGAGUUAAACAGUACGUGAAAUUGCUGAAAGGGAAACGCUUGAAGUCAGUCGCGUUGGCCAGGGAUCAGCCUUGCUUUUGUGAGGUGUACUUCCUGGUUGACGGGUCAGCAUCAGUUUCGACCACUGGAAAAAGGCUUAGGGAAUGUGGCACCUCCGGGUGUGUUAUAGCCCUUUGUCGUAUACAGUGGCUGGGACUGAGGAACUCAGCACGCCGCAAGGCCGGGAUUCGUCCACGUUCGUGCUUAGGAUGCUGGCAUAAUGGCUUUAAGCGACCCG
This 594-nucleotide ribosomal RNA is filed under the name Marasmius sp. CUH AM120. RNAcentral describes it as "eukaryotic LSU rRNA". It matches the Rfam family "Eukaryotic large subunit ribosomal RNA", at positions 73 to 651 of the family's 3401-position model. Lineage: Eukaryota; Fungi; Basidiomycota; Agaricomycetes; Agaricales; Marasmiaceae. The record is from RNAcentral.